AAUCCAUAGGUUAAUGAGGCGAACCGGGGGAACUGAAACAUCUAAGUACCCCGAGGAAAAGAAAUCAACCGAGAUUCCCCCAGUAGCGGCGAGCGAACGGGGAGGAGCCCAGAGCCUGAAUCAGCAUGUGUGUUAGUGGAAGCGUCUGGAAAGGCGCGCGAUACAGGGUGACAGCCCCGUACACAAAAGCGCAUGUGCUGUGAGCUCGAUGAGUAGGGCGGGACACGUGGUAUCCUGUCUGAAUAUGGGGGGACCAUCCUCCAAGGCUAAAUACUCCUGACUGACCGAUAGUGAACCAGUACCGUGAGGGAAAGGCGAAAAGAACCCCGGCGAGGGGAGUGAAAAAGAACCUGAAACCGUGUACGUACAAGCAGUGGGAGCCCCACCACUAAGCCAGUGGUGAACUCCACAUACGCAUCCU
This 421-nucleotide ribosomal RNA is filed under the name Salmonella enterica subsp. enterica serovar Flottbek. Its description in RNAcentral is "partial 23S ribosomal RNA". It matches the Rfam family "Bacterial large subunit ribosomal RNA", at positions 161 to 584 of the family's 2925-position model. Lineage: Bacteria; Pseudomonadati; Pseudomonadota; Gammaproteobacteria; Enterobacterales; Enterobacteriaceae. The record is from RNAcentral.